GGGGGAUAUUGCACAAUGGGGGAAACCCUGAUGCAGCGACGCCGCGUGGAGGAAGAAGGUUUUCGGAUUGUAAACUCCUGUCGUUAGGGACGAUAAUGACGGUACCUAACAAGAAAGCACCGGCUAACUACGUGCCAGCAGCCGCGGUAAAACGUAGGGUGCAAGCGUUGUCCGGAAUUACUGGGUGUAAAGGGAGCGCAGGCGGACCGGCAAGUUGGAAGUGAAAACUAUGGGCUCAACCCAUAAAUUGCUUUCAAAACUGCUGGCCUUGAGUAGUGCAGAGGUAGGUGGAAUUCCCGGUGUAGCGGUGGAAUGCGUAGAUAUCGGGAGGAACACCAGUGGCGAAGGCGACCUACUGGGCACCAACUGACGCUGAGGCUCGAAAGCAUGGGUAGCAAACAGGAUUAGAUACCCUGGUAGUCCAUGCCGUAAACGAUGAUUACUAGGUGUUGGAGGAUUGACCCCUUCAGUGCCGCAGUUAACACAAUAAGUAAUCCACCUGGGGAGUACGACCGCAAGGUUGAAACUCAAAGGAAUUGACGGGGGCCCGCACAAGCAGUGGAGUAUGUGGUUUAAUUCGAAGCAACGCGAAGAACCUUACCAGGUCUUGACAUCCGAUGCAUAGUGCAGAGAUGCAUGAAGUCCUUCGGGACAUCGAGACAGGUGGUGCAUGGUUGUCGUCAGCUCGUGUCGUGAGAUGUUGGGUUAAGUCCCGCAACGAGCGCAACCCUUAUUGCCAGUUACUACGAAAGAGGACUCUGGCGAGACUGCCGUUGACAAAACGGAGGAAGGUGGGGAUGACGUCAAAUCAUCAUGCCCUUUAUGACCUGGGCUACACACGUGCUACAAUGGCGUAAACAAAGGGAAGCGAGCCUGCGAGGGGGAGCAAAUCUCAAAAAUAACGUCUCAGUUCGGACUGCAGUCUGCAACUCGACUGCACGAAGCUGGAAUCGCUAGUAAUCGCGAAUCAGAAUGUCGCGGUGAAUACGUUCCCG
This 995-nucleotide ribosomal RNA is filed under the name uncultured bacterium. RNAcentral describes it as "bacterial SSU rRNA". It matches the Rfam family "Bacterial small subunit ribosomal RNA", at positions 356 to 1376 of the family's 1533-position model. The record is from RNAcentral.